This 36-nucleotide ribosomal RNA is filed under the name Dianella tasmanica. RNAcentral's name for it is "partial 18S ribosomal RNA". Lineage: Eukaryota; Viridiplantae; Streptophyta; Magnoliopsida; Asparagales; Asphodelaceae. The record is from RNAcentral.
UACGUGGUUGAUACUGCCAGUAGUCAUAUGCUUGAC